RNAcentral lists this long non-coding RNA (219 nucleotides) under Lathyrus oleraceus (garden pea). RNAcentral describes it as "Pisum sativum (pea) long non-coding RNA (PSAT_LNC000278)". The record is from RNAcentral. Lineage: Eukaryota; Viridiplantae; Streptophyta; Magnoliopsida; Fabales; Fabaceae.
UAAUUUUUCGGGGCUAACUCUUGUCGUAUAUCCAUCACCACCAUAUCUAGACGGGAAUUAUUACCAUAUUUAUCUUUCUUGAAUGUUUAUAAUUGUUCCAAUUAAACUAUCACACACAUUCUUCUCUACAUGCAUCACAUUAGAACAAUGUCUUGCAUCGAGACUAGACCAAUAUGGAAGAUCAAAGAACACUGACCUAAUUUUCCAUAUAUUUUUCUC